GACGAACGCUGGCGGCGGGCUUAACACAUGCAAGUCGAACGGAAAGGCCCUGCUUUUGUGGGGUGCUCGAGUGGCGAACGGGUGAGUAACACGUGAGUAACCUGCCCUUGACUUUGGGAUAACUUCAGGUAACUGGGGCUAAUACUGGAUAGUAGCUCCUGCUGCAUGGUGGGGGUUGGAAAGUUUCGGCGGUUGGGGAUGGACUCGCGGCUUAUCAGCUUGUUGGUGGGGUAGUGGCUUACCAAGGCUUUGACGGGUAGCCGGCCUGAGAGGGUGACCGGCCACAUUGGGACUGAGAUACGGCCCAGACUCCUACGGGAGGCAGCAGUGGGGAAUAUUGCACAAUGGGCGGAAGCCUGAUGCAGCAACGCCGCGUGCGGGAUGACGGCCUUCGGGUUGUAAACCGCGUUCGCCUGUGACGAAGCGUGAGUGACGGUAAUGGGUAAAGAAGCACCGGCUAACUACGUG
RNAcentral lists this ribosomal RNA (468 nucleotides) under uncultured bacterium. RNAcentral describes it as "partial 16S ribosomal RNA". It matches the Rfam family "Bacterial small subunit ribosomal RNA", at positions 28 to 507 of the family's 1533-position model. The record is from RNAcentral.